Molecule: long non-coding RNA, 1148 nt
Organism: Carassius carassius (crucian carp)
Lineage: Eukaryota; Metazoa; Chordata; Actinopteri; Cypriniformes; Cyprinidae
Exons: 4
Source: RefSeq, a predicted model, not a curated record
GAGUAAACCUAUUUCCUUUGGCCAAACAACUUCCUGCUGCAAAUGAGAACAUUGUCAUGCCUCUGAUCUCAGAACAGACUUUGGUAUCUGAAUUGUCACCUUCAGUGACAAGAAAAUCUGAUCCCAGUACAGCACCCAGCAGUAAACCUCAGAGAAAGAACAAAGAGCAGUCUCAUUUCACCUGAAUCGCAAGUGAGAACAUAACUUGCAAAAUACUUCAUUUCUCAAUUCCAUAUCUCUUUUCUUCUUCUUCUUUUUUUUAUUCUUAAAUGAUCUUUAUUGGCUAAACAUAUUUUAGUGGGGAAUUACUUGAACUUUAUUUCAUAGGUUACCAAUAACGGCACAGAUGGAAAUUUUAAAUACCCACGCACACUGAGAGCGAGCAGAAAGCGGGUUUUACUUCCUUUAUUGGAAAUCUAGCAGUUCUUCAGAAAUCAAGCAAACACUGAAUUAUGACUACACUUUCACAAUGGUGUUACCAUGUUUAAUCGCACUAACAGUUCUCAUUGUUUCACCCCUGAAGCGUUUGGAAGCAGUAGAGUUAAAAGAAGUCAGACUUGGAGAGACAGUGGCACUGAUGUGCAACCUGUCUGUUUACUCUGAGACCCACUGGCUGAGGAUGAGUGAGGGGCGGCUGAUGGCUCUGAUGGUCACAAGUCUGAAACACACUGGAAAACUGUCUGUUGUCUGGAAUUACAAUGAAACUCAUUUUGAAGGCUUUAUGGAGAAGCAGAUGACUGGACUGAAAAUUCUCCACGUCUCCACCAGCGAUCUCGCCACAUACUAUUGUUCAACGUCAUAUCAAAAACGCUUGGAUUUUGAUAAAGGAGUGCAACUAUAUACAAAUCAACAAAGUAAACAAAAACCAUCUGAUCAUAUGCAAGAUUUGUCAGGAGGAGUGAAACAAACAGAUUUAUCAGGAGGUUUUAGCGGAGCCUCUCUACAUUACCAAGUUUUUGCAGCAGUUUUGUGUUUUGGUCUACUGGUAAUGUUACUAGCGGUUUCUGUGGUGCAUAUUAAGACAAAAAACUAAACAAAACCCCAUCUACAACCAUAAAAGUAUGUCAGUGCCUUGGGUAUUAACUUUUUUUGUUAUUAUUUAUUUUCAUAAAACUAACAUUGCCCUGUCAUAUUGUGGUAGGACAGAU